AGCGCAGGUGGGCUGUCAAGUCUGUCUUAAAAGUGCGGGGCUUAACCCCGUGAUGGGAUAGAAACUGGCAGUCUUGAGUGCAGGAGAGGAAAGCGGAAUUCCUAGUGUAGCGGUGAAAUGCGUAGAUAUUAGGAGGAACACCAGUGGCGAAGGCGGCUUUCUGGACUGUAACUGACACUGAGGCUCGAAAGCCAGGGGAGCGAACGG
RNAcentral lists this ribosomal RNA (207 nucleotides) under uncultured Veillonellaceae bacterium. RNAcentral's name for it is "partial 16S ribosomal RNA". It matches the Rfam family "Bacterial small subunit ribosomal RNA", at positions 568 to 775 of the family's 1533-position model. The record is from RNAcentral. Lineage: Bacteria; Bacillati; Bacillota; Negativicutes; Veillonellales; Veillonellaceae.